GACGAACCGUGCGAACGUUAUUCGGAAUCACUGGGCUUAAAGGGCGCGUAGGCGGGCUGACAAGUCUGGGGUGAAAUACCACGGCUCAACCGUGGAACUGCCUCAGAUACUGUCGGCCUCGAGGGAGGUAGGGGCGUGCGGAACUGUAGGUGGAGCGGUGAAAUGCGUUGAUAUCUACAGGAACUCCGGUGGCGAAAGCGGCGCGCUGGACCUCUUCUGACGCUGAGGCGCGAAAGCUAGGGGAGCAAACGGG
RNAcentral lists this ribosomal RNA (253 nucleotides) under uncultured bacterium. RNAcentral's name for it is "partial 16S ribosomal RNA". It matches the Rfam family "Bacterial small subunit ribosomal RNA", at positions 524 to 776 of the family's 1533-position model. The record is from RNAcentral.